RNAcentral lists this ribosomal RNA (253 nucleotides) under uncultured bacterium. RNAcentral describes it as "partial 16S ribosomal RNA". It matches the Rfam family "Bacterial small subunit ribosomal RNA", at positions 524 to 776 of the family's 1533-position model. The record is from RNAcentral.
UACGUAGGGGGCAAGCGUUGUCCGGAUUUAUUGGGCGUAAAGAGCGUGUAGGCGGCUGGGUAGGUCCGUUGUGAAAACUCGAGGCUCAACCUCGAGACGGCGAUGGAAACCCUCCAGCUAGAGUCCGGAAGAGGAGAGUGGAAUUCCUGGUGUAGCGGUGAAAUGCGCAGAUAUCAGGAAGAACACCCGUGGCGAAGGCGGCUCGCUAGUACGGUACUGACGCUGAGACGCGAAAGCGUGGGGAGCGAACAGG